This 383-nucleotide ribosomal RNA is filed under the name uncultured eukaryote. Its description in RNAcentral is "partial 18S ribosomal RNA". It matches the Rfam family "Eukaryotic small subunit ribosomal RNA", at positions 592 to 976 of the family's 1831-position model. The record is from RNAcentral.
CAAUAGCGUAUAUUAAAGUUGUUGCAGUUAAAAAGCUCGUAGUUGGAUUUCUGGUGGGAGCGAUCGGUCUGGCGCUUAGCGCGAGUACUUGCAUCGUCUCCGGCCAUCCUUGGGGAGAGUCUGUCUGGCAUUAAGUUGUCGGGCAGAGGAUCCUCAUCGUCUACUGUGAAAAAAUUAAAGUGUUCAAAGCAGGCUUAUGCCGUUGAAUAUAUUAGCAUGGAAUAAUAAGAUAGGACUUUGGUACUAUUUUGUUGGUUUGCGCACCAAAGUAAUGAUUAAUAGGGACAGUUGGGGGUAUUCGUAUUCCGUUGUCAGAGGUGAAAUUCUUGGAUUUACGGAAGACGAACUACUGCGAAAGCAUUUACCAAGGAUGUUUUCAUUAA